GGUGGCAUGGUGGUUGAUCACUCGGCUGCUAACCGAAAGAUUGGUGGUUCAAACCCACCAGCCACUG
This 67-nucleotide transfer RNA is filed under the name Loxodonta africana (African savanna elephant). It matches the Rfam family "tRNA". From Rfam's summary of the family: Transfer RNA (tRNA) molecules are approximately 80 nucleotides in length. Their secondary structure includes four short double-helical elements and three loops (D, anti-codon, and T loops). Further hydrogen bonds mediate the characteristic L-shaped molecular structure. tRNAs have two regions of fundamental functional importance: the anti-codon, which is responsible for specific mRNA codon recognition, and the 3' end, to which the tRNAs corresponding amino acid is attached (by aminoacyl-tRNA synthetases). tRNAs cope with the degeneracy of the genetic code in two manners: having more than one tRNA (with a specific anti-codon) for a particular amino acid; and 'wobble' base-pairing, i.e. permitting non-standard base-pairing at the 3rd anti-codon position. The record is from Rfam by way of RNAcentral. Lineage: Eukaryota; Metazoa; Chordata; Mammalia; Proboscidea; Elephantidae.